This 468-nucleotide ribosomal RNA is filed under the name uncultured bacterium. RNAcentral describes it as "partial 16S ribosomal RNA". It matches the Rfam family "Bacterial small subunit ribosomal RNA", at positions 28 to 507 of the family's 1533-position model. The record is from RNAcentral.
GACGAACGCUGGCGGCGUGCUUAACACAUGCAAGUCGAACGGAAAGGCCCUGCUUUUGUUGGGUGCUCGAGUGGCGAACGGGUGAGUAACACGUGAGUAAACUGCCCUUGACUUUGGGAUAACUCCAGGAAACUGGGGCUAAUACCGGAUAGGAGCUACUGCUGCAUGGUGGGGGUUGGAAAGUUUCGGCGGUUGGGGCUGGACUCGCGGCUUAUCCGCUUGUUGGUGGGGUAGUGGCGUACCAAGGCUUUGACGGGUAGCCGGCCUGAGAGGGUGACCGGCCACAUUGGGACUGAGAUGGGGAGCAGACUGCUACGGGAGGCAGCAGUGGGGAAUAUGGCACAGUGGGCGGGAGCGUGAUGCAGCAGCGCCGCGUGCGGGAUGACGGCUUUCGGGUUGUAAACCGCUUUCGCCUUUGACGAAGCGUGAGUGACGGUAAUGGGUCAAGAAGCACCGGCUAACUACGUG